AUGUCGAAUGACCAGCGGAUAAACUCUCAGGCUGAAGUUGUCGGGUCACCUCCUAAAUCGACCAUCUUUUACAGGUGUUUUGUGCCAGAAAUGGAGUGUCCACUGAAGACUGAAGAUACUGAAUCUCUAUGCCGUGCCAUUGAUCCCUCCUGUGCCUUCAUCUAGACAAGAGACAUCAACUUAACCACUCUCACAUGCUCUGUACCUACAUCACCUUCCCUGACAGUCGUAGCUUGGCUCAUCUGAGGGUGAAAUUAUAAGAAUGUGUUAUUUUGCAGAGUGCUCUCGGGUUCCUAAAUAAAAUAUGGCAUUUAGGUCAUUUCUUUUGAAUUAAUCCCUUCUUCUGAAAUAUAAGAACCUCUCCUGGUUUUAUUGGCACUUUCUGUUCCACUCCCAACCUCAAAUAGAUGCUGACAAGCUGACACAGUAACAUGGAAGAGGGAAAGAAGUUGGAAAGGACUACUACAAAUAAACCCAAUGCUUAACAAUGAAAAAUGUAAAAUAAGAACAAUAAUAAUAAUAAAGAUAAAAGAUGAAGUAACAAGUUUUUAGUUUUUAGUUUAUUCCAAAUGAUCAUCCAGAUGUCUGUGACAUGUGAUGACAAACACCAUAAUGGAAGGCCUUUGUCAUCACAUGCUUAAACUCAUCAUAUAUUUUUGCAUAUGCUGAACAGGCAGUCAGACAUGCUGUAACUGUGGGGUAGAAAACUGCAUGAACACCAUACGGCAGGGGUCUCAAACUCCAGCCCACUGGAGUUUGAGACCCCUGUCAUAUUCCAUAUGACAGGUGUGGUUGAACUGCAUGAAGACUGAAGUUUCUCUUCUCUUCUGGCAGGACAGGAAUGUGGCCUUGUCCUGUGAGCCACCAUAAGGAUGUACUUAGAGUAGAACUGGACUGUCACCGGCCUCAGGCUCUUCACCUUUUCAAAGACAAAGCAGUCAUUUAGAUCAAAUAUUAGAUAUUGUUUACCUGUAAAUGCACAAAGAGAAUUUAGAAAUGUAAUUAUUGUCAAGAGUGAACAAGCACUACAGCUGUGGCCAAAAGUUGAGAGAACGAGAAGUGUUGUUUGUUUAUUUACAAAGUUUGCUUGUUUCAGUGAUAGUUGUAUAUCAUAUUAUAUCACUUUAAACAGGUGACUGCAGGAGCAAAUAAUUAUAACAAAAACAGCAUUACAGGAAAAGGUGCAGAAGUAGCAUUACAUGAGAGAGUGCAAAAGUGGAACACUAACAGCCAUCUAACACAUCUUGAUAAGUAUAGAUCAAAAAGCAGAACUAGGAAGAGAGCUUGAUGCGCUUAGAGACCCCACAAACUCACGCUCAUAGAAAAUGAGGCUAUGUGCAGAGAAAGGGAGACAGAGUGGAUGUGCAGAACCAUAAAAGGCGAGAUGAAUUGAUGUGUAAGACAAUAAAAGGAAAAGAUAAGAAUUUCAAAGGACGAGGGAGAUGUUUUGUUUGAAACUGAUUUGGUGCAUGAACGCAGAGUACUGAAUGAGGAACCACAAAGAAGUAUCAAUGUAACAAACUGAGGGAGCGCCCCUCGGAUCAGCAGGAGGCUUUUGCACUGUGCACAUCCCCCGUGUACAUGGAAGAAUAAAGAAGCUGCUGAACUGAAAAGUCUGUCUUGAGUCUUGUGUUUUUUUGUUUUUUGUUUUUUGUUUUUACCAGGUCAGAAUCCAAGUAUCGGGGUGACAGCUGGUCGCCAACAGGUCCCCAAGUCGUUUGGUACCGAGCUGCGAGAGUUGAGGCUCGGGUGUGGAAUUUAUGGUUUUCAGGGUUUUUAUCGUUAACUCAGUUUCCCUGGGUCUUUUCCCAUGUUGUAGUUGUGUCUUAUUUUGAAAGAAAUAUUUAAGCAUUACCAUAGCGACCGGAGAGCAUUGAGGGGCAGAGAGGAGGAUGGUACUCUCAAUGCUGUUUGCACAUUUUCAGGAGGACACUGCUAAUAAAGUUAUACAAUUGUUAUACAAUAUAAUAAUAAAUGUGAAUUCACGUUUUGUAAAAUGGCCUGCAUUUGUAUAGCACUUUACUUAGUCCCUAAGGACCCGAAAGCGCUUUACACUACAUUCAGUCAUUCACACACUGGUGAUGGCAAGCUACAUUGUAGCCACAGCCACCCUGGGGCGCACUGACGGAGGCGAGGCUGCUGGACACUGGCGCCACCGGGCCCUCUGACCACCACCAGUAGGCAAACAUGGGGUUAGGAUCUUGCCCAAGGAUAUUUGGCAUGCAGCCUGGAGCAGCCUGGGAUCGAACCCCCGACCUUCUGAUUAGUGGCUGACCUGCUCUGCCACCUGAGCUACAGCCACCCCCGAUAUUUCAUUAUAUUUACAAAAUGCCACCGUUUUUGUCUUGGUCGUAUCAUUUUAUUUUGUUGUAUUUUUCUGUGACACCUUAAAGGCCGCUCCAUAUCUGACAUUAAACUGAUCUGUGGCGCAAACAAGGUUGGGGACCGCUGCCAUACAGCAUGAGAGUUAAUAAAAUUGUACUCAUUUAAAUAUGAUGUGUAAAUUGAUUUAUUCUUGUAUCUCCACGCCACAGUGACCCAAUUGUUCACCCCAGUGAAGAGGUGAUCGUUUUCUCCUCGUUUUAAUAAAUUUGAUCGUCUGAUAAUCAAAAAAUCAAAAUUAUCAGAGAAAAAUUCUCCUGUAUGGGCUGCAAUGAAUCCUGGGAUAUGGUAGGACAUGAAGGAUACACCAGACCCAUCCUUCAAAUUGGGGGAAAUGGACGCAUUUGUUGCCACAUUUGGAGGACUCUUUGAAUUUGGACAGCCUACGUCACGUCACUGUGAUGUCAUUGCCUCCAAAUACGGCAUGUGAAGCAUCCUUCCCCUGAAUUUGGACACAGCCACUGUGAGAGGAGACAGAGGGGAAGAGUCAUCAACACAAGAGGUCAAAGGUCAGUCAGUACAGCUAGAAGAAGAAAAAUCUGUUAAAUUAGAUUUAAACAAAUUUUUGAAACAGUUUUAUAGUUACAGAGGUUUUCUUAUUCUCUAGAGGGAAAAACAAGAUUUGUUUCAUGUGAAUGUUCAGAAAAUAAUCAAGGAAAAUAUCAUCAAAUUAAGGCAGCACGAUUUUCAAUACAGUUUCAAAGAUAAAAGAGACGUUAUGAAAAUUUGACCUUGAAGAAGAGGUCAGGGGUCCAAAGUAAUAUGAUAUUUACAUAUUAUACAUACACAGCAAUACAUAUUUGCUGUCUAUACAAACAAUGGAAGUAAGAAACAGUUGUACACACACACACAAAGUUUGAGACCGGCUGUAACGACCUGAAAGCGGUUGAGUGACGUCACUCUUUGAACUCCCCCCUGAAUCCUGCCCUAUGAUAAUAUUUUAAUUCAAAAAGAAAAAAAAGUUCUGAUUGAAAAAGUCAGAUUUUUCCCCACUUGAACUUUUCAGAUGAAGGAAUUUUCUCAGAUUUUCAUAAUUAGACACAGAGACACUGACACAAAGUUUCUCCUGACAGUAAAACUCAAACUUUUCUUCUUUUUGAACUCAGUCUGAGUAAAUGUGCCAGAGACAGUUUGAGUUUGCUUACAAACACAGAGCAUCAGGAAGGACACAAACAGAGAUAAAGAUGAAAUACUUACUGUUGUUGGUUCAUUCUCUUUAGGAUGAUGUUUGGUUUCCUCAUAGUGUGGACACAAACUUCAGAUACGAUGCAGACCUGUCAGUGAGUUUAACUCAGUGUGCUGCAUCACUGACGUUUCAUGCUUUUCUUCCUCUUUUAAAGACGUGUUUAACAGCUGAGCUGUUAUGUAAUCUCACAACUGUACAGUUAAUAGUGUAAAUG
This 3782-nucleotide long non-coding RNA is filed under the name Oreochromis niloticus (Nile tilapia). RNAcentral describes it as "lncRNA (ENSONIG00000027845.1)". Lineage: Eukaryota; Metazoa; Chordata; Actinopteri; Cichliformes; Cichlidae. The record is from RNAcentral.